AGUCGACGGAAGGCCCUUCGGGNNNNUCGAGUGGCGAACGGGUGAGUAACACGUGGGUGAUCUGCCCUGCACUUUGGGAUAAGCCUGGGAAACUGGGUCUAAUACCGAAUAGGACCACGCGCUUCAUGGUGUGUGGUGGAAAGCUUUUGCGGUGUGGGAUGGGCCCGCGGCCUAUCAGCUUGUUGGUGGGGUAAUGGCCUACCAAGGCGACGACGGGUAGCCGGCCUGAGAGGGUGACCGGCCACACUGGGACUGAGAUACGGCCCAGACUCCUACGGGAGGCAGCAGUGGGGAAUAUUGCACAAUGGGCGCAAGCCUGAUGCAGCGACGCCGCGUGAGGGAUGACGGCCUUCGGGUUGUAAACCUCUUUCAAUAGGGACGAAGCGCAAGUGACGGUACCUAUAGAAGAAGCACCGGCCAACUACGUGCCAGCAGCCGCGGUAAUACGUAGGGUGCGAGCGUUGUCCGGAAUUACUGGGCGUAAAGAGCUCGUAGGUGGUUUGUCGCGUUGUUCGUGAAAACUCACAGCUUAACUGUGGGCGUGCGGGCGAUACGGGCAGACUAGAGUACUGCAGGGGAGACUGGAAUUCCUGGUGUAGCGGUGGAAUGCGCAGAUAUCAGGAGGAACACCGGUGGCGAAGGCGGGUCUCUGGGCAGUANNNGACGCUGAGGAGCGAAAGCGCGGGGAGCGAACAGGAUUAGAUACCCUGGUAGUCCACGCCGUANACGGUGGGUACUAGGUGUNNNUUCCUUCCUUGGGAUCCGUGCCGUAGCUAACGCAUUAAGUACCCCGCCUGGGGAGUACGGCCGCAAGGCUAAAACUCAAAGGAAUUGACGGGGGCCCGCACAAGCGGC
Molecule: ribosomal RNA, 855 nt
Filed under: uncultured bacterium
Lineage: Bacteria
Description: bacterial SSU rRNA
Rfam family: Bacterial small subunit ribosomal RNA
Source: RNAcentral